CUCUCCCUCCCUCGCCAGGCGUUCUGCGAAGGCGAGAAAGAUUUCUCUUGGAACCGAGAAUUCAGAAAUAGAGCCAGCACCAGGCAAGAGAAGCGACAGUCUUACAUUCGUAGCUGGAAAGCGCAGCUCCGCGGGGAGGGAUGUUCGCAGCGAGCCCCGCGGCAGCCGCAAGCGGGCUGCAGGGGGACGGGAGCUGCCGGCUCUCGGCUCGGGGAGAGGUCGCAGCGAAGGGAGGGGGUGAGGUGACCUCCACCCCGCAGCCCCGACGAGAGGCGUUGGGUGAUGGGUGCGUGGAGAGCUAUUGUGCAACGCUCAGCUCAGCGCCUGCCUCCCUCCCCGGGGCUGCGCACUGCUUCCCCUGCCCGCUUUCUGACACGAAAGGAGGAAAAAAAAAAAAUAGAAAAGAAAAGAAAAAAAAAAAAAGAUGACGAGGGUGAGGACUGUCAGUUCUG
RNAcentral lists this long non-coding RNA (452 nucleotides) under Gallus gallus (chicken). RNAcentral describes it as "lncRNA (ENSGALG00010002666.1)". The record is from RNAcentral. Lineage: Eukaryota; Metazoa; Chordata; Aves; Galliformes; Phasianidae.